GGUCUUUUGUUUAUAUAAAAGAUUUGGCCUGCCCAAUGAUUUAUAUUUAAUGGCUGCAGUAUUUUGACUGUACAAAGGUAGCAUAAUCACUUGUCCUUUAAUUAAGGUCUAGAAUAAAUGGUUUGAUGAAAAAUAUACUUUCUUUAUUUUAUAGGAAAAAUUUAAUUUUUUAGUUAAAAAGCUAAAAUAUAUUUAUAGGACGAGAAGACCCUAUAGAACUUUAUUUUUUAUUUUAUAUGUUUGGUUUAGAUCAUAUUAUAAUAUAUGAAAGUUAAAUUUUGUUGGGGUGACAGAAAAAAAUUCAUAACUUUUUCUAUUUUUAUCAUUAUAAGUGAAUUUUUGAUCCUUUUUUAUGGAUAAAAGAUUAAGUUACCUUAGGGAUAACAGCGUUAUUAUUUUGGAGAGUUCAUAUCGAUAAAAUAGUUUGCGACCUCGAUGUUGGAUUAUAAUAAGAUAUGGAGGUAGAAUGUCAUAUUCUAGGUCUGUUCGACCUUUAAAUUUUUACA
RNAcentral lists this ribosomal RNA (506 nucleotides) under Pseudopsallus angularis. RNAcentral's name for it is "partial 16S ribosomal RNA". It matches the Rfam family "Bacterial large subunit ribosomal RNA", at positions 1816 to 2600 of the family's 2925-position model. Lineage: Eukaryota; Metazoa; Arthropoda; Insecta; Hemiptera; Miridae. The record is from RNAcentral.